UUUUAGCUCCCUAUGGUAGUAGAACACUCAAAACCAAUAUUUCAUGGCGGUCACAUCUUUUCUAGAGGAACUCGCUUUAUAAUCGAUAUUCCCCGAUAAUUUUCACCUUUUUCCAAAGCCUAUAUACCGCCGUUUCAGACUUCCCUAUAUUCUUCUUAUUCCACUCAGUGCUAUUAAACUAAAAAAUCAGGUCAAGGUGUAGCCAAUAUAAAGGAAGAAGUAAGUUACAUUAAAAACAAUUUAAGGACAACUAAUAAAAAUUUAAUCCAAAAAGAAUCUAGCUUUAAAAAUCAAUUAAUAUUUCAUUUAGAAUUAUUCCCAGUGACGU
Molecule: ribosomal RNA, 328 nt
Filed under: Smeringopus sp. DNA100446449
Lineage: Eukaryota; Metazoa; Arthropoda; Arachnida; Araneae; Pholcidae
Description: partial 12S ribosomal RNA
Source: RNAcentral